CAGAAGGGAGAAUUAACAAGCAAGAGAGCCAGAAGAAUCUAGAAAGGGAGAAGAGGUGGCUAAUCAUCGGCAAUAAUCAAGCCAAAAACCACCUCCUUGCUGACAAAUUUCUGAUUGUCCUUCACCAUAAAAUUCCCGCCCCUGCCUUCUUUUCUCGGUAACCCAGAAGUAGUAUUGAUUUUCACCCAAAGAAACGCUAGAAUUGAGCAAUGCAGAGGAACCCCUGCUGCUGCCCCUUCCCAUUUCUAUCACUCACGAAGGCAGGGAGGCCAACCAAACUUUCGACUCUUGUCUCUAGCAGAUGUUAAAUCCUUUCCUAAGCCUCCAAUUCAGUCAAUGUAUGAAGAAGAAGAAGAAGAAGAAUCUCUAUUAGUUGUUAAACCCUUCCCUAAGCCUCCAUUUGGGGAAAUAUUCGAAGGAAUAAGAAGUGUACUGCGUAUUAUGUUGUUGCAGAUGAGUUGAAGCAAGGGUUUCCAAAAGAAAAACCAAGGAAUCAUUUUCAUAGGAGAAAUCAAUUAAAUUGUGAAGAGUCAAUGUGAAAGAAAUGUAAUCCAUUACAGACUUUAAAUAUGCCUUGGUGCUUGAGCCAACUAAUAAAAGAGUAGCCCUUUCUGCUGAAAGAUUAUGGAAGGUGUUUUCAGUACGAGAUUCAAGUGAAUGCAUCAGUCUAGGAAUGGCAAAGUCUCCAAUUUAUCAUUUUUCAAAAAAGCCUCAUCAAUUUCUCUGCACCAGAUGACACAAUUAAACAGUUUGAUGAGUGUUGCUACACAAAAAAUGGCUCGAGGAGAAGAGUGCCUGGCAGGUAGAGACGGGAGAGAAGAUAGUAAUCCAUCUUCAUAGAAGGUAUAGAGGUUUGAAGAGUAUGUUUUUGUUUGAUGUGAUCUGAUAUGAUUUUAAGAUAACUAGGUAAUUAUUACUGUUGUCUGUUUUUGUAAGUACGGUACAAUUUUGUUCACUUUAAUAUUUUAUAAAAGGAGUACUUUGUUAUUUAA
This is a long non-coding RNA of Hevea brasiliensis (rubber tree), 992 nucleotides long. RefSeq lists it as uncharacterized. The transcript has 2 exons. The record is from RefSeq and is a predicted model, not a curated record. Lineage: Eukaryota; Viridiplantae; Streptophyta; Magnoliopsida; Malpighiales; Euphorbiaceae.